Molecule: ribosomal RNA, 729 nt
Filed under: uncultured Bacteroidales bacterium
Lineage: Bacteria; Pseudomonadati; Bacteroidota; Bacteroidia; Bacteroidales
Description: bacterial SSU rRNA
Rfam family: Bacterial small subunit ribosomal RNA
Source: RNAcentral
GCUACAGGCUUAACACAUGCAAGUCGAGGGGCAGCAUGGUCUUAGCUCGCUAAGGCUGAUGGCGACCGGCGCACGGGUGAGUAACACGUAUCCAACCUGCCGUCUACUCUUGGCCAGCCUUCUGAAAGGAAGAUUAAUCCAGGAUGGCAUCAUGAGUUCACAUGUCCGCAUGAUUAAAGGUAUUUUCCGGUAGACGAUGGGGAUGCGUUCCAUUAGAUAGUAGGCGGGGUAACGGCCCACCUAGUCAACGAUGGAUAGGGGUUCUGAGAGGAAGGUCCCCCACAUUGGAACUGAGACACGGUCCAAACUCCUACGGGAGGCAGCAGUGAGGAAUAUUGGUCAAUGGGCGAUGGCCUGAACCAGCCAAGUAGCGUGAAGGAUGACUGCCCUAUGGGUUGUAAACUUCUUUUAUAAAGGAAUAAAGUCGGGUAUGCAUACCCGUUUGCAUGUACUUUAUGAAUAAGGAUCGGCUAACUCCGUGCCAGCAGCCGCGGUAAUACGGAGGAUCCGAGCGUUAUCCGGAUUUAUUGGGUUUAAAGGGAGCGUAGAUGGAUGUUUAAGUCAGUUGUGAAAGUUUGCGGCUCAACCGUAAAAUUGCAGUUGAUACUGGAUGUCUUGAGUGCAGUUGAGGCAGGCGGAAUUCGUGGUGUAGCGGUGAAAUGCUUAGAUAUCACGAAGAACUCCGAUUGCGAAGGCAGCCUGCUAAGCUGCAACUGACAUUGAGGCUCG